RNAcentral lists this ribosomal RNA (1104 nucleotides) under Triticum aestivum (bread wheat). RNAcentral describes it as "partial small subunit ribosomal RNA". The record is from RNAcentral. Lineage: Eukaryota; Viridiplantae; Streptophyta; Magnoliopsida; Poales; Poaceae.
AUGAUUCCACGGAGAAACCCAAACCCCUCUCCGAACCCAGGACUGCUCCCUCGGCGGCGGCGCGUUGAGAUGGCUGACGGCACGGAGAGCGAGCAGGCCGCGGUCGUGGGGGACGGGAACCCUUCGCAGUUGUCUAAGAGCGCGAAGAAGAAGCUGCUGAAGCAGGAGCGGCAGGCGGCGCGGAAGGCCGAGCGGAAGGCGGGGGAGAAGGAGCGCCGGCGCGCCGACAUAGAGCGGCGGAGGCGCGAGUGGGAGGAGUCUCUGGCCGCGGCACCCUCGCAGGAGGCGCGCGAGGCGAUGCUGGCCGCGCGCAGGGAGACGCGACUCGAGCGGGUGGGAAAGCGCGUGGAGGAGCGGGGCGCGCGCGCCGAGAGGCUCCGGCGCGCCGCCGAGGGUGGGCAGAAGGUGGUGCUCGACCUCGAGUUCGCGGACCUCAUGCGGCCCAACGAGAUUCACAGCCUCACGCAGCAGAUUAUGUACUGCUAUGCAGUGAACGGGAGAUCAGCAACCCCGGCUCAUCUCUGGUUGACAGGUUGCAGCGGAGAAAUGGGGACCCAGGUUCAGAGGAUACCUGGCUUUGAUAAGUGGAUCAUAGAAAAAGAAGCCAAGUCUUAUCUUGAAGCAUUUGCAGACUGUAAAGAAAAUCUUGUGUAUCUGACAGCGGAUGCUGAGACUGUCCUUGAUGAUCUCGACAUGUCGAAAAUAUACAUCAUUGGUGGUCUAGUGGAUCGUAACAGAUGGAAAGGCAUAACACAGAAGAAGGCAGUUGAUCAGGGCAUUCAGUCUGCCAAGCUCCCCAUUGGAAAUUAUUUAAAGAUGUCAAGUUCUCAGGUUCUUACAGUCAACCAAGUGUUUGAGAUAAUGCAAAAGUUUGUGGAAACAAAGGACUGGAAGACGGCAUUCUUUCAUGUGAUCCCACCGAGGAAACGAGGAGAAGCUGGAGCAGCAAAUGAUGAUGAUUCACCUGAGGGGGCUGCAAACGGAGAUCUUGACAAGUGUUUAGAAGAGGAGGUUGAUGAUGAUGACGAUGAUGGUGAUGGGGAUGAAGAAGCCGAUGUUGCUAACAAAAGACAUUGUUUUAGAAGUGAAAAUGGAAAAUCUUAG